RNAcentral lists this ribosomal RNA (481 nucleotides) under uncultured bacterium. Its description in RNAcentral is "partial 16S ribosomal RNA". It matches the Rfam family "Bacterial small subunit ribosomal RNA", at positions 28 to 507 of the family's 1533-position model. The record is from RNAcentral.
GAUGAACGCUGGCGGCGUGCUUAACACAUGCAAGUCGAACGAAGCACUUUAUUUGAUUUCCUUCGGGACUGAUUAUUUUGUGACUGAGUGGCGGACGGGUGAGUAACGCGUGGGUAACCUGCCUUGUACAGGGGGAUAACAGUUGGAAACGGCUGCUAAUACCGCAUAAGCGCACAGCAUCGCAUGAUGCAGUGUGAAAAACUCCGGUGGUAUAAGAUGGACCCGCGUUGGAUUAGCGAGUUGGUGAGGUAACGGCCCACCAAGGCGACGAUCCAUAGCCGACCUGAGAGGGUGACCGGCCACAUUGGGACUGAGACACGGCCCAAACUCCUACGGGAGGCAGCAGUGGGGAAUAUUGCACAAUGGGCGAAAGCCUGAUGCAGCGACGCCGCGUGAGCGAAGAAGUAUUUCGGUAUGUAAAGCUCUAUCAGCAGGGAAGAUAAUGACGGUACCUGACGAAGAAGCACCGGCUAAAUACGUG